UCGUAACAGGUUUCCGUAGGUGAACCUGCGGAAGGAUC
Molecule: ribosomal RNA, 38 nt
Filed under: Bryoria sp. Wang 04-23184
Lineage: Eukaryota; Fungi; Ascomycota; Lecanoromycetes; Lecanorales; Parmeliaceae
Description: partial 18S ribosomal RNA
Source: RNAcentral